UCGAGAAUCAUUCACAAUGGGCGCAAGCCUGAUGGUGCGACGCCGCGUGGGGGAUGAAGGGCUUCGGUCUGUAAACCCCUGUCAUCUGUGAGUAAGGUCUCGUAUAAAAGCUACGAGAAUUGAUAUUAACAGAAGAGGAAGGGACGGCUAACUCUGUGCCAGCAGCCGCGGUAAUACAGAGGUCCCAAGCGUUGUUCGGAUUUACUGGGCGUAAAGAGUGCGUAGGCGGUCAGAAAAGUUUGGUGUGAAAUCUUCGGGCUUAACCCGGAAACUGCACUGAAAACUAUUUGACUAGAGGAUCGGAGAGGAGAUUGGAAUUCUCAGUGUAGCAGUGAAAUGCGUAGAUAUUGAGAGGAACACCAGUUGCGAAGGCGGAUCUCUGGACGAUUCCUGACGCUGAGGCACGAAAGCUGGGGGAGCGAAGAGG
RNAcentral lists this ribosomal RNA (427 nucleotides) under uncultured bacterium. RNAcentral describes it as "bacterial SSU rRNA". It matches the Rfam family "Bacterial small subunit ribosomal RNA", at positions 355 to 776 of the family's 1533-position model. The record is from RNAcentral.